Molecule: ribosomal RNA, 482 nt
Filed under: uncultured bacterium
Lineage: Bacteria
Description: partial 16S ribosomal RNA
Rfam family: Bacterial small subunit ribosomal RNA
Source: RNAcentral
AUUGAACGCUGGCGGCAUGCUUUACACAUGCAAGUCGAACGGUAACAGGCCGCAAGGUGCUGACGAGUGGCGAACGGGUGAGUAAUGCAUCGGAACGUGCCCAGUCGUGGGGUAUAACUACUCGAAAGAGUAGCUAAUACCGCAUACGAUCUAUGGAUGAAAGCGGGGGACCGUAAGGCCUCGCGCGAUUGGAUCGGCCCAUGUCAGAUUAGUUAGUUGGUGGGGUAAAGGCUCACCAAGCCAACGAUCUUUAGCUGGUCUGAGAGGACGACCAGCCACACUGGGACUGAGACACGGCCAAGACUCCUACGGGAGGCAGCAGUGGGGAAUUUUGGACAAUGGGCGAAAGCCUGAUCCAGCAAUGCCGCGUGCAGGAAGAAGGCCUUCGGGUUGUAAACUGCUUUUGUACGGAACGAAACGGCUCUGGUUAAUACCCGGGGCUAAUGACGGUACCGUAAGAAUAAGCACCGGCUAACUACGUG